This 341-nucleotide ribosomal RNA is filed under the name Escherichia coli. RNAcentral's name for it is "partial 23S ribosomal RNA". It matches the Rfam family "Bacterial large subunit ribosomal RNA", at positions 323 to 667 of the family's 2925-position model. The record is from RNAcentral. Lineage: Bacteria; Pseudomonadati; Pseudomonadota; Gammaproteobacteria; Enterobacterales; Enterobacteriaceae.
UGUGUGUUAGUGGAAGCGUCUGGAAAGGCGCGCGAUACAGGGUGACAGCCCCGUACACAAAAAUGCACAUGCUGUGAGCUCGAUGAGUAGGGCGGGACACGUGGUAUCCUGUCUGAAUAUGGGGGGACCAUCCUCCAAGGCUAAAUACUCCUGACUGACCGAUAGUGAACCAGUACCGUGAGGGAAAGGCGAAAAGAACCCCGGCGAGGGGAGUGAAAAAGAACCUGAAACCGUGUACGUACAAGCAGUGGGAGCACAGAGCAAUCUGUGUGACUGCGUACCUUUUGUAUAAUGGGUCAGCGACUUAUAUUCUGUAGCAAGGUUAACCGAAUAGGGGAGCC